CAAAAACUUAACUUGCAUAAGUACACUUUGAUUCUCAUUGAUUUCCUUCUUGCCUUGAUUCCCUGAUUUCCUCCUAAUCAAUUUCUUCAUUUCAUCAAAUUGAAGCCCACUAAAAAUUUAGUUCCUUAUAUCUUUUUGUAUCUUCCAUUUUUGUGGGUUCGGAGGCAAAGUUGUCUACUGAGCUUUCCGAUGGAAUUCAUUGUUCCACUGUAUUUCUUCUUCUAGCUUAUAUGCAUACAAAAUUCUUUUCUUUUCUAUAUUACAGAAGUUAUAUUUCUAGAUGCAUGAUUAUAUUUUUACUUUAAUUUUUUAAUUGAGUAUUUUAAAACAUUUUACUUCUACUUCCCCUACUUAUCCUAUAACACUACAAAAAAGAACCGCUUGAUUGCUUGCAAUUUCUAGAAGAAUUUCGAGCACAAAAAGCGAGCAAAAUGCAAAAUAGGUGUCUCACACCGUGUUUGCUUUCCACCACAGCGAUAGCUACGUACCCCGUUGCCAUUGCAAUGGAUUCUAGCGAGCACUAUUGCCCCACGUUGCUGAUCUCUAUCGUUAUUGGCCUCUCUUUGCCGAUAUAUUCCUUCAACACAUUGCUUUAAUUAAAAUUAUCAAUUUUCUGAUAACUAAAAUUUGUUGAUUAAUGCAUCUUCUGCCUAUUUUUUUUUUUCCGAUUUUGAUGGUCUUACUGAAUUAUAUAAAAUCCUUGUGACUUUUACUUAUGUCUGGAUGUUAUAUUGUUAAGAUUGUGAUAUUUAGAUUUUGUCUAUGAGAUCAUUGUUCUUGCCAGCAAAGAAGAUUGUGACGAUAUUGAAACAAGUUCACGGAGCAGUUAAUAUUCAAGAUUAGCCUAAAUAGCUUAGCUGCUGGCUCUGCAUCUUCCUCCGGCUCGUAUGGCCUUAGCACUGACAAGGUCAAUGAACUUCUCGAGCGACGAGUACAACCAUUGCAGGAGAUCGAAGAAUUGCGGGAGCUAGUAAAGGUCGUCAAUCAGCAUGUUCAAGAGUCGAGAAGACGCGAAUUGUCGUAUUUGAACUAAAUUGUGGGAGCUAGUAGUAUUUGAACUAAAUUUGUGAUCUAAUUGAAUUGAAGGGUAAAACAAUAUUUCCUAUCAAUGUAAAAUUUGAACUUU
Molecule: long non-coding RNA, 1126 nt
Organism: Salvia splendens (bonfire salvia)
Lineage: Eukaryota; Viridiplantae; Streptophyta; Magnoliopsida; Lamiales; Lamiaceae
Exons: 2
Source: RefSeq, a predicted model, not a curated record